AGUGAACGCUGGCGGCGUGCUUAACACAUGCAAGUCGAACGAGAACGGAUUAUAGCUUGCUAUAAUUGUCAGCUAAGUGGCGCACGGGUGUGUAAUGUAUAGGUAAUAUGCCUCUUACUAAGGGAUAACAAAUGGAAACGUUUGCUAAUACCUUAUACUCCUUAUUAACCGACGUUAAUAAGGGAAAGAUUUAUUGGUCAGAAAUUAGCCUGUAUUGUAUCAGUUAGUUGGUGGGGUAAUGGCUUACCAAGACUAUGACACAUAACUGGUUUGAGAGGAUGAUCAGGCACACUGGAACUGAGACACGGUCCAGACUCCUACGGGAGGCAACAGUGGGGAAUAUUGCACAAUGGACGAAAGUCUGAUGCAGCAACGCCGCGUGGAGGAUGACACAUUUCGGAGCGUAAACUCCUUUUAUAUGAGAAGAUAAUGACGGUAUUAUAUGAAUAAGCACCGGCUAACUCCGUGCCAGCAGCCGCGGUAA
RNAcentral lists this ribosomal RNA (484 nucleotides) under uncultured bacterium. Its description in RNAcentral is "partial 16S ribosomal RNA". It matches the Rfam family "Bacterial small subunit ribosomal RNA", at positions 29 to 523 of the family's 1533-position model. The record is from RNAcentral.